GACGAACGCUGGCGGCGUGCUUAACACAUGCAAGUCGAACGGUGAAGGGAAGCUUGCUUCCCGGAUCAGUGGCGAACGGUGAGUAACACGUGGGCAAUCUGCCCCAGACUUUGGGAUAACUACUCGAAAGAGUAGCUAAUACCGAAUAUUCAGCCUUGCAGGCAUCUGCGAGGCUGGAAAGUUUCUCGGUCUGGGAUGAGCCCGCGGCCUAUCAGCUAGUUGGUGAGGUAAUGGCUCACCAAGGCGACGACGGGUAGCCGGCCUGAGAGGGCGACCGGCCACACUGGGACUGAGACACGGCCCAGACUCCUACGGGAGGCAGCAGUGGGGAAUAUUGCGCAAUGGGCGAAAGCCUGACGCAGCAACGCCGCGUGCGGGAUGAAGGCCUCGGUGUAACGCUUCUAGCAGGAAGAAGCGAAAGUAGACGGUACCUGCAGAAGAAG
Molecule: ribosomal RNA, 443 nt
Filed under: uncultured bacterium
Lineage: Bacteria
Description: bacterial SSU rRNA
Rfam family: Bacterial small subunit ribosomal RNA
Source: RNAcentral